RNAcentral lists this transfer RNA (71 nucleotides) under Marmota monax (woodchuck). RNAcentral's name for it is "tRNA.Thr". The stretch from base 6 to 66 matches the Rfam family "tRNA", at positions 6 to 65 of the family's 71-position model. From Rfam's summary of the family: Transfer RNA (tRNA) molecules are approximately 80 nucleotides in length. Their secondary structure includes four short double-helical elements and three loops (D, anti-codon, and T loops). Further hydrogen bonds mediate the characteristic L-shaped molecular structure. tRNAs have two regions of fundamental functional importance: the anti-codon, which is responsible for specific mRNA codon recognition, and the 3' end, to which the tRNAs corresponding amino acid is attached (by aminoacyl-tRNA synthetases). tRNAs cope with the degeneracy of the genetic code in two manners: having more than one tRNA (with a specific anti-codon) for a particular amino acid; and 'wobble' base-pairing, i.e. permitting non-standard base-pairing at the 3rd anti-codon position. The record is from RNAcentral. Lineage: Eukaryota; Metazoa; Chordata; Mammalia; Rodentia; Sciuridae.
GAGGCUGUAGCUCAGUGGUAGAGCUCUUGCCUAGUAUGUAUGAGGCACUGGGUUCGAUUCUCAGCACCGCA